Molecule: long non-coding RNA, 917 nt
Organism: Cloeon dipterum
Lineage: Eukaryota; Metazoa; Arthropoda; Insecta; Ephemeroptera; Baetidae
Exons: 7
Source: RefSeq, a predicted model, not a curated record
GCUCUUUACGAAUACGAAGAGAAGAAAAAGAGGAGAUGGGAAGAAGAAAAUGUGUAUCGCGCGCGCAUCAGGCACUUUUCAGUGUUGUCCUCAAGCGUGAGCAGUGUGUACCACGCAAAUGAAGCGCGCCGGCCUUACGCGGAAUUUUGGCCAAUAUUUUCUCUUUUUCAUGCCCCGCGGACGGCUAGAGAAGGAAUUUGAUAUAAUUAAUGGAGGUGAUGUCAAAAUUCAGAUCGUCGUCCCACUGUGCGGUGCGCGCGGCCGCUCACUUCGUCGAGUUGGAAGGAGUCGAAAGAAAAUCGGCGGGAGACAGGUGGAGCUCGCGAGGAGGAGUCUCCUCAUACCAAUGUCCCUUGGGCGCCGAGUUGAGCUGAUGUAUUCGUCAAGCAAAAGUACAUGCCUAGCCGCCAAAUUGUAUCAAGAUUAUUUGACGUAAUUAGCAUCACGAGCAACGACCUAACCUUGCCCUUUGCAAUCUCGGCCCGUCUCUCCGCAUUUGGGCGGACAAUUUGAGCCGGAGCUUUUACUAUCACCUGCGGAGGAGCUGAGCUUAUUUUCGUCGGGGCUGUGAGAGAAUUCCAAGCUGACAACGCGGUUUUGCUAGCCUGCUGAACGCUCCACUUGCGCCUCCGUUGUCUCCAGUCUUCUCCGCACGUAUACCAGUAGCGCUUAAAAGGAGAUAGGAGCGGUGGAUUUUACAGCUCAUAGAGUCGCAGGCAUCCAGGGAUCUUUUAGUCGGCUUACGUAAGGCUGCCGUUUCUACAGAUCUUCAAGACGCAGUCGUGGCGCUAAGGAUCCCCGCGGGUAUGGAUUGCUUCCAAAUGGACUUUGGAUAAAGUGUGUAUACCCUCAUGUUGCCGACGUGAUGUAAUCGCAUAUGAAUAGGCUAUGUCUGCAAUAAAAUUUGAGAAAAACUA